GCGUGCUUACACAUGCAGUCGAACGAUGAUCCGGUGCUUGCACCGGGGAUUAGUGGCGAACGGGUGAGUAACACGUGAGUAACCUGCCCUUGACUCUGGGAUAAGCCUGGGAAACCGGGUCUAAUACCGGAUACGACCUGUCACCGCAUGGUGUCGGGUGGAAAGAUUUUUUGGUUUUGGAUGGACUCGCGGCCUAUCAGCUUGUUGGUGGGGUAAUGGCCUACCAAGGCGACGACGGGUAGCCGGCCUGAGAGGGUGACCGGCCACACUGGGACUGAGACACGGCCCAGACUCCUACGGGAGGCAGCAGUGGGGAAUAUUGCACAAUGGGCGCAAGCCUGAUGCAGCGACGCCGCGUGAGGGAUGACGGCCUUCGGGUUGUAAACCUCUUUCAGCAGGGAAGAAGCGAAAGUGACGGUACCUGCAGAAGAAGCGCCGGCUAACUACGUGCCAGCAGCCGCGGUAAUACGUAGGGCGCAAGCGUUGUCCGGAAUUAUUGGGCGUAAAGAGCUCGUAGGCGGUUUGUCGCGUCUGCUGUGAAAGCCCGGGGCUCAACCCCGGGUCUGCAGUGGGUACGGGCAGACUUGAGUGCAGUAGGGGAGACUGGAAUUCCUGGUGUAGCGGUGAAAUGCGCAGAUAUCAGGAGGAACACCGAUGGCGAAGGCAGGUCUCUGGGCUGUAACUGACGCUGAGGAGCGAAAGCAUGGGGAGCGAACAGGAUUAGAUACCCUGGUAGUCCAUGCCGUAAACGUUGGGCACUAGGUGUGGGGGACAUUCCACGUUUUCCGCGCCGUAGCUAACGCAUUAAGUGCCCCGCCUGGGGAGUACGGCCGCAAGGCUAAAACUCAAAGGAAUUGACGGGGGCCCGCACAAGCGGCGGAGCAUGCGGAUUAAUUCGAUGCAACGCGAAGAACCUUACCAAGGCUUGACAUGGGGCCGGACCGGGCUGGAAACAGUCCUUCCCUUCGGGGCCGGUUCACAGGUGGUGCAUGGUUGUCGUCCGCUCGUGUCUUGAGAUGUUGGGGUUAAGUCCCGCAACGAAGCGCAACCCUCGUUCUAUGUUGCCAGCGCGUUAUGGCCGGGGACUCAUAAGAAGACUGCCGGGGGUCAACUCGGGAAGAAAGGUGGGGGACGACCGUCAAAUCAUCCAUGCCCCCUUAAUGUCCUGGGGCUUUCACGCAUGCCUACAAUGGGCCGGGUACAAAGGGGUUGCGAAAAUGGUGGAGGGGGAAACUUAUUCCCAAAAACCCGGGCUCCAGUUUCGGAUUGGAGGUCGUGCA
This 1280-nucleotide ribosomal RNA is filed under the name Crystallibacter crystallopoietes. Its description in RNAcentral is "bacterial SSU rRNA". It matches the Rfam family "Bacterial small subunit ribosomal RNA", at positions 42 to 1309 of the family's 1533-position model. The record is from RNAcentral. Lineage: Bacteria; Bacillati; Actinomycetota; Actinomycetes; Micrococcales; Micrococcaceae.